AUUGAACGCUGGCGGCAGGCCUAACACAUGCAAGUCGAGCGGAUGAAGGGAGCUUGCUCCUGGAUUCAGCGGCGGACGGGUGAGUAAUGCCUAGGAAUCUGCCUGGUAGUGGGGGAUAACGUCCGGAAACGGGCGCUAAUACCGCAUACGUCCUGAGGGAGAAAGUGGGGGAUCUUCGGACCUCACGCUAUCAGAUGAGCCUAGGUCGGAUUAGCUAGUUGGUGGGGUAAAGGCCUACCAAGGCGACGAUCCGUAACUGGUCUGAGAGGAUGAUCAGUCACACUGGAACUGAGACACGGUCCAGACUCCUACGGGAGGCAGCAGUGGGGAAUAUUGGACAAUGGGCGAAAGCCUGAUCCAGCCAUGCCGCGUGUGUGAAGAAGGUCUUCGGAUUGUAAAGCACUCUAAGUUGGGAGGAAGGGCAGUAAGUUAAUACCUUGCUGUUUUGACGUUACCAACAGAAUAAGCACCGGCUAACUUCGUG
This 484-nucleotide ribosomal RNA is filed under the name uncultured bacterium. RNAcentral describes it as "partial 16S ribosomal RNA". It matches the Rfam family "Bacterial small subunit ribosomal RNA", at positions 30 to 507 of the family's 1533-position model. The record is from RNAcentral.